Molecule: non-coding RNA, 1647 nt
Organism: Punica granatum (pomegranate)
Lineage: Eukaryota; Viridiplantae; Streptophyta; Magnoliopsida; Myrtales; Lythraceae
Source: RefSeq, a predicted model, not a curated record
AGAGAGAGAGAGAGAGAGAGAGGAGAUCGUCGGUCGGGGUCGGUGAGAGAGACAGAGAAGGAAGGAAAGAGAACCGAGAAACAGAUCAAUUCAGCCCACCCAAAAAUCUUCCCUUUUCUCCCUCUAUAUAACACCCGAUGAAGAAGCUGCGAGAUUUGCAGAGCCAGAACAGAAAGAAGAAGAGAUCAUAGUGUGAAGGAAGGAAUUGUUUAUUUGGACGCAGAACAGGGAAGAAGAUUUUGAAGGAGCGAGCGACGGUUUCGUUGUUUUACUCUGCCAUCGGCGUGCGACCUUCACAUCUCUCUCUCUCUCUCUCUCUCUCUCUCUCUCUCAUCGUCAUCAUCUUCUCUCUGGGUCGGGGGUGUUUCUCUCCUUUUUCGCUUCCUCCUCUCUCUCUCUUCCUUGCCCCUGCUCGUGUUUCUUUUGGUUUCUUCUGCAAGGAAUCCCGCAAUUCCUCUCCCUUUCCCGGGACCGCCCCACCUCCAUUGACGGUGCUGCUCGCGGAUAAAUAUACCCCAAUCGAGGCCCGGCUUUUUGUUAUCUCUGAGGAGGGUCGAAAGGGGGUGGGUGGCUUUACAUAGAGAGAGAGUAUUGAGUUCCAUUUGAGAAACAGAGAGGAGGUAAUGGAGGGAAGGAAGCAGGUGGGGUGUCCGUCGUCGUCUUCAUCUUCCUCUUCGUCGUUGGCUUCGGAGCUGUUCGGCUCCAGGGAGACGUACCCGGCUGCCUCCUCUUCGACGGGUAUUUUCGGGUCAAUCUUCGGGCCCCCGUCUAACUCUAAGAUUGUAGGAAAAGAGUUUCUGCACUCGGAGAGCGAAAAGAAACGGGAAUUCUCGAACGAGCCGUGGAGCAACAGAUCUGAGACUCCAGCGGAUGACACAACAAAGAGUGGAGAUGGGGGAAUUCAGAGCGCACCGAACUGGGAGAUGAGUUCCAUUUAUCAAGAACAAAGAUUACACCCAUGCCAUCUGAGUUCUUCGAUUUAUUAUGGAGGUCAAGAGAACUACUCUCAUCCCCAGAACACCCAAGGCUCGAGCAUGAACUCGUUUAAGAAAGAUCCGGGCGAAGAUGAUCCGGGAACUGCUUCGAGAGGAAAUUGGUGGCAAGGUAGAACUUAUAGCUGUUCUUUAGUCUAAAAAUUUGGUCUAUGAUGAGGCCAUCGACUUAGUUCUCCUCUCUACGUGCUUUUUUACUUUAUGCAGGGUCUCUAUAUUACUGAAGGCUUGCUCAUCAAGGCUCAGUAGUUUACGAGGAUAGCGGGUUUUGGCUUCUUACUCCUUGUAAGUGAAGAUAGAGAUAGUCGUCGGGUCAGAAUCUGUUGUUCGGUUCCUCAGAGACUAGGAGCAAAGUCGCACGAAACUUCGGAGUUUCGUCCACCCUCAUAUGUUCGUAUUUAGUAUCUGUCAAGCAGUCUGUUUUUAUUUUCCUUUCAGAUGCUGUAAAGUGUGUGCUUUUUUUAAGGUAUAAAGGGAAGACUCCAACUUCCACCACAAUCUUGACAAUGUGGUCGAGAAGUACUCACCUUUAUACGUUAUGAACUCAUCGAAUCUUUGAAUAAUUUUAGCUUUUUGCAUUCUGUAUGGCGAACUCCUGUAAACCGGUAACUCUUUAAUAAAGUUGCAAUAUUGGCGAACGUCAUUUUGUUUUUUA